RNAcentral lists this ribosomal RNA (831 nucleotides) under uncultured bacterium. RNAcentral describes it as "bacterial SSU rRNA". It matches the Rfam family "Bacterial small subunit ribosomal RNA", at positions 8 to 810 of the family's 1533-position model. The record is from RNAcentral.
AGAGUUUGAUUUUGGCUCAGGACGAACGCUGGCGGCGUGCCUAAUACAUGCAAGUCGUACGCUUCUUUUUCCACCGGAGCUUGCUCCACCGGAAAAAGAGGAGUGGCGAACGGGUGAGUAACACGUGGGUAACCUGCCCAUCAGAAGGGGAUAACACUUGGAAACAGGUGCUAAUACCGUAUAACAAUCGAAACCGCAUGGUUUUGAUUUGAAAGGCGCUUUCGGGUGUCGCUGAUGAAUGGACCCGCGGUGCAUUAGCUAGUUGGUGAGGUAACGGCUCACCAAGGCCACGAUGCAUAGCCGACCUGAGAGGGUGAUCGGCCACAUUGGGACUGAGACACGGCCCAAACUCCUACGGGAGGCAGCAGUAGGGAAUCUUCGGCAAUGGACGAAAGUCUGACCGAGCAACGCCGCGUGAGUGAAGAAGGUUUUCGGAUCGUAAAACUCUGUUGUUAGAGAAGAAUAAGGAUGAGAGUAACUGUUCAUCCCUUGACGGUAUCUAACCAGAAAGCCACGGCUAACUACGUGCCAGCAGCCGCGGUAAUACGUAGGUGGCAAGCGUUGUCCGGAUUUAUUGGGCGUAAAGCGAGCGCAGGCGGUUUCUUAAGUCUGAUGUGAAAGCCCCCGGCUCAACCGGGGAGGGUCAUUGGAAACUGGGAGACUUGAGUGCAGAAGAGGAGAGUGGAAUUCCAUGUGUAGCGGUGAAAUGCGUAGAUAUAUGGAGGAACACCAGUGGCGAAGGCGGCUCUCUGGUCUGUAACUGACGCUGAGGCUCGAAAGCGUGGGGAGCAAACAGGAUUAGAUACCCUGGUAGUCCACGCCGUAAACGAU